GACGAACGCUGGCGGCGUGCCUAAUACAUGCAAGUAGGACGCAGUUGCGAACGAGUGAGGAACGCGUAGGUACCUGCCUAUUAGACGGGGCUAACUAUUGGAAACAAUAGCUAAUACCGCAUACUAGUAGAUGGAUCUGCGUUGUAUUAGUUAGUAGGUGGGGGAAUGGCCUAACUAGGCGACGAUACAUAGCCGAGCUGACAGGGUUGUCGGCCAACAUGGGACGGAGCAACGGCCCAGACCUCUACCGGAGGCAGGAGUAGGGAAGCUUCGGGAAUGGGGGGAACCCUGAACGAGCAACGCCGCGUGAGUUAAGAAGGGUUUCGGAGCGUAAAGCUCUGUUGUUAAGGAAGCGGUACUGAACCAGAAAGGGACGGCUAACUACGUGCCAGCAGCCGCGGUAAUUC
RNAcentral lists this ribosomal RNA (407 nucleotides) under uncultured bacterium. RNAcentral describes it as "partial 16S ribosomal RNA". It matches the Rfam family "Bacterial small subunit ribosomal RNA", at positions 28 to 526 of the family's 1533-position model. The record is from RNAcentral.